Micropterus dolomieu (smallmouth bass) is the source of this 114-nucleotide small nuclear RNA. RefSeq annotates it as U5 spliceosomal RNA. The record is from RefSeq and is a predicted model, not a curated record. NCBI's taxonomy places the organism in Eukaryota, Metazoa, Chordata, Actinopteri, Centrarchiformes, Centrarchidae. The transcript has a single exon.
UUACUCGGGUUUCUCUUCAUAACGUACAAGUCUUUCGCCUUUUACUAAAGACUUCCGUGGAGUAAAUGCUCCGUACUUGUAUAGCGCCUUUCUAGUCUUUUCGACCACUCAAAG